AUUGAACGCUGGCGGCAUGCCUUACACAUGCAAGUCGAACGGCAGCACGGGAGCAAUCCUGGUGGCGAGUGGCGAACGGGUGAGUAAUACAUCGGAACGUGCCCAGUAGUGGGGGAUAACCCGGCGAAAGUCGGACUAAUACCGCAUACGACCUAUGGGUGAAAGCGGGGGAUCGCAAGACCUCGCGCUAUUGGAGCGGCCGAUGGCAGAUUAGGUAGUUGGUGAGGUAAAGGCUCACCAAGCCUUCGAUCUGUAGCUGGUCUGAGAGGACGACCAGCCACACUGGGACUGAGACACGGCCCAGACUCCUACGGGAGGCAGCAGUGGGGAAUUUUGGACAAUGGGCGCAAGCCUGAUCCAGCAAUGCCGCGUGCGGGAAGAAGG
RNAcentral lists this ribosomal RNA (384 nucleotides) under uncultured bacterium. RNAcentral's name for it is "bacterial SSU rRNA". It matches the Rfam family "Bacterial small subunit ribosomal RNA", at positions 29 to 414 of the family's 1533-position model. The record is from RNAcentral.